Molecule: ribosomal RNA, 255 nt
Filed under: uncultured bacterium
Lineage: Bacteria
Description: partial 16S ribosomal RNA
Rfam family: Bacterial small subunit ribosomal RNA
Source: RNAcentral
GUCCACGCCGUAAACGAUGGAUACUAGCUGUUCGGAGCAAUCUGAGUGGCUAAGCGAAAGUGAUAAGUAUCCCACCUGGGGAGUACGUUCGCAAGAAUGAAACUCAAAGGAAUUGACGGGGGCCCGCACAAGCGGUGGAGCAUGUGGUUUAAUUCGAUGAUACGCGAGGAACCUUACCAAGGCUUAAAUGGGAAACGACAGGUUUGGAAACAGACUUUUCUUCGGACGUUUUUCAAGGUGCUGCAUGGUUGUCGU